GCCCAGAUGGUGGAAUUGGUAGACACGCCAGCUUGAGGGGCUGGUGCUCAAUUACGAGCGUGCAGGUUCGACUCCUGUUCUGGGCA
RNAcentral lists this transfer RNA (86 nucleotides) under Flavilitoribacter nigricans. It matches the Rfam family "tRNA". From Rfam's summary of the family: Transfer RNA (tRNA) molecules are approximately 80 nucleotides in length. Their secondary structure includes four short double-helical elements and three loops (D, anti-codon, and T loops). Further hydrogen bonds mediate the characteristic L-shaped molecular structure. tRNAs have two regions of fundamental functional importance: the anti-codon, which is responsible for specific mRNA codon recognition, and the 3' end, to which the tRNAs corresponding amino acid is attached (by aminoacyl-tRNA synthetases). tRNAs cope with the degeneracy of the genetic code in two manners: having more than one tRNA (with a specific anti-codon) for a particular amino acid; and 'wobble' base-pairing, i.e. permitting non-standard base-pairing at the 3rd anti-codon position. RNAcentral also lists the same sequence under 1 other name. The record is from RNAcentral. Lineage: Bacteria; Pseudomonadati; Bacteroidota; Saprospiria; Saprospirales; Lewinellaceae.